This is a long non-coding RNA of Centruroides sculpturatus (bark scorpion), 752 nucleotides long. RefSeq lists it as uncharacterized. The transcript has 2 exons. NCBI's taxonomy places the organism in Eukaryota, Metazoa, Arthropoda, Arachnida, Scorpiones, Buthidae. The record is from RefSeq and is a predicted model, not a curated record.
AUUUUUAAUGUAAUAAUGAUUAAGUGAACGUCGUUUUAGUUUAAAUUUUAAAUCAGCAAACACUUAACAAAAAAGAAAGAAAAAAAAAAAGUGAAGGGAGUGUAAACAGAGAAGUUGUAAACUUUCAAAAUGUUUUCUUUUUACUGGCUACCGAUGAUAUCAUCGAGGAGGAAUACGAUUGGACGACGUUGCCGUCAUUUCUCUAAUUUUAGAAAAUGACGUAAUUUCGGCUGCGGUGAGUUUGAAACGAAAUGGGCCCGUUUGGCCUCUGUUAUAUGAAUGAAUGCGUGAUUGAUGCUCUUUAAUUCUUUAAAAAUAUCUCGAAAAAUCUUAAAUAUGCUCGAAUUUUAAAGUUAUUUCUUGUAUAUAAAAACUUUAAGAUGAAAUAUUCAAAUGUUGGGAAAAACAUGACAGUUAUUUAUGCAAUUGUUUUUUGGCAAUUUCCUAUGGUAAGUAAAAAAUAUUAAAUUGAGUUAAUAUUUUUGUAGAAAAUUAGCUUGUUAACAGUUAAAUGGGAAUUAAGUUCUUACAGCCAUUUCACAAGUUCAUGUAAUAAUUUCAUAUUCCUUAAUGUUUUUCUUAUCUGCAAGUAUACACAAAAGUUCAUCAGGAAUUUUUGCAUAGAUCUAGAUCAUUUUCAUUGCUCUAGAUCAGGGGGUCCCAACAUUUUUAUUAUUUUUAACGAUUAUGGAUAAAACAGCAAAUAUAAACACCAAAAACAACUUAUUGAAAUAAUGCAAAAGAAAAAAAAA